Molecule: ribosomal RNA, 146 nt
Filed under: Cladosporium inversicolor
Lineage: Eukaryota; Fungi; Ascomycota; Dothideomycetes; Cladosporiales; Cladosporiaceae
Also listed under: 1 other name
Description: partial 18S ribosomal RNA
Rfam family: Eukaryotic small subunit ribosomal RNA
Source: RNAcentral
AUUGAAUGGCUCGGUGAGGCCUUCGGACUGGCCCAGGGAGGUCGGCAACGACCACCCAGGGCCGGAAAGUUGGUCAAACCCGGUCAUUUAGAGGAAGUAAAAGUCGUAACAAGGUCUCCGUAGGUGAACCUGCGGAGGGAUCAUUA